UACCAGCACCCCGAGUGGUCGGGACGAUUAUUGGGCCUAAAGCAUCCGUAGCCGGUCUUGCAAGUCUUCCGUUAAAUCCAGCUGCUUAACAGAUGGGCUGCGGAAGAUACUACAAGACUAGGAGGUGGGAGAGGCAAGCGGUACUCAGUGGGUAGCGGUAAAAUCCUCUGAUCCAUUGAAGACCACCAGUGGCGAAGGCGGCUUGCCAGAACGCGCUCGACGGUGAGGGAUGAAAGCUGGGGGAGCAAACCGG
RNAcentral lists this ribosomal RNA (253 nucleotides) under uncultured bacterium. RNAcentral's name for it is "partial 16S ribosomal RNA". It matches the Rfam family "Archaeal small subunit ribosomal RNA", at positions 474 to 727 of the family's 1478-position model. The record is from RNAcentral.